GGCAGUGGCGCGUGCUAUACAUGCAGUCGAGCGGACAGAUGGGAGCUUGCUCCCUGAUGUUAGCGGCGGACGGGUGAGUAACACGUGGGUAACCUGCCUGUAAGACUGGGAUAACUCCGGGAAACCGGGGCUAAUACCGGAUGGUUGUUUGAACCGCAUGGUUCAAACAUAAAAGGUGGCUUCGGCUACCACUUACAGAUGGACCCGCGGCGCAUUAGCUAGUUGGUGAGGUAACGGCUCACCAAGGCAACGAUGCGUAGCCGACCUGAGAGGGUGAUCGGCCACACUGGGACUGAGACACGGCCCAGACUCCUACGGGAGGCAGCAGUAGGGAAUCUUCCGCAAUGGACGAAAGUCUGACGGAGCAACGCCGCGUGAGUGAUGAAGGUUUUCGGAUCGUAAAGCUCUGUUGUUAGGGAAGAACAAGUACCGUUCGAAUAGGGCGGUACCUUGACGGUACCUAACCAGAAAGCCACGGCUAACUACGUGCCAGCAGCCGCGGUAAUACGUAGGUGGCAAGCGUUGUCCGGAAUUAUUGGGCGUAAAGGGCUCGCAGGCGGUUUCUUAAGUCUGAUGUGAAAGCCCCCGGCUCAACCGGGGAGGGUCAUUGGAAACUGGGGAACUUGAGUGCAGAAGAGGAGAGUGGAAUUCCACGUGUAGCGGUGAAAUGCGUAGAGAUGUGGAGGAACACCAGUGGCGAAGGCGACUCUCUGGUCUGUAACUGACGCUGAGGAGCGAAAGCGUGGGGAGCGAACAGGAUUAGAUACCCUGGUAGUCCACGCCGUAAACGAUGAG
This 795-nucleotide ribosomal RNA is filed under the name Bacillus sp. (in: firmicutes). RNAcentral's name for it is "bacterial SSU rRNA". It matches the Rfam family "Bacterial small subunit ribosomal RNA", at positions 35 to 813 of the family's 1533-position model. Lineage: Bacteria; Bacillati; Bacillota; Bacilli; Caryophanales; Bacillaceae. The record is from RNAcentral.